Molecule: unclassified non-coding RNA, 689 nt
Filed under: Bombus terrestris (buff-tailed bumblebee)
Lineage: Eukaryota; Metazoa; Arthropoda; Insecta; Hymenoptera; Apidae
Description: misc RNA ENSBTSG00005020313.1
Source: RNAcentral
GUGAAAAACGAAUAUUAAAUUAGCAAUAAGAACAGUGAAAGGACUACACAAAUUACUCCAAAUUUAUAUAAAUGAUCUGUGGAAUGUGUUUUCUUCACGAUACAAAUUAUCCACUAUCAGUACAAAAAUACGAUCGAUCAAACCAAAAAUAAUCGUUGCUUCUUAAACUUCUGCAAGUAAUCGAAAAUUGAACGAAUAAAUUAUCGAGACACCAAUCGAUUUCUUGUUUGCUGGACUUUAAAAAUACACACGGCGAUCACAGAAGGGGAAGGGAAGAGUAACACGGUAGAAGAGGCCCACGCGACGGCUAGUUGCCUGGCUCGUAGUUUUGCAUGUUAAUCUCUAUGGGAAAUUACAUGCACCAUUGCACCAUCCGGCGACAACACCCGAAACUACUUCGACGACGUUCUAUUUUGUUCGCCGGGCAUUAAACGAGAUCCCGAUUCCCCAACGUGAUUCAACCGGCAACGCUUCUUUUCGAAAGUACGUAAAGCAGUUACCGAAAGUUCCCUCGCCUGCCUGUGAAAUGCAGUUAAACGAGUUUAUCUGGAUUUACCGUGAAAAGUAUGCCGUGAAACGAUGUUUCGCCUCACGGUGAACGGGAAAGGGGAUGAAGCAUUCGUGUGAAACAGAAAUAAGAAACGUUGUUAAAGAAUUGUGUACCUUUUUUACACUUUUUCUCAUCUGAG